This 375-nucleotide ribosomal RNA is filed under the name Mastus sitiensis. RNAcentral's name for it is "partial 16S ribosomal RNA". It matches the Rfam family "Bacterial large subunit ribosomal RNA", at positions 1921 to 2563 of the family's 2925-position model. Lineage: Eukaryota; Metazoa; Mollusca; Gastropoda; Stylommatophora; Enidae. The record is from RNAcentral.
UCUUUAACGGCCGCAGUACUCUGACUGUGCUAAGGUAGCAUAAUAAUUUGUCUUUUAAUUGGAGACUGGUAUGAAAGGCAUCAUGAAAAUUGACUGUCUUAUUAUAAAUAUUUAAAAGUUACUGUAAGAGGUGAAAAUUCCUCUAAUAGAUUUAAUUAGACGAGAAGACCCUUAGAAUUAUAACAAUACUAUAGUUCCUUUAGUUCGUUUUUGUUGGGGCAACAUUGUCAUAACUAUAAACUGAUGAUUUCUAGAAAAUAGUACAGGACUUUUAUUUUAUCUAAGAAUUUAAUUACCUAAGGGAUAACAGCAUAAUUCAAAAUAUGAGAUUAUGACCUCGAUGUUGGACUAGGGACUCUUGCCACUAGUCGUGGA